AGCCCAGGCUUAAAACCCAAAGGACUUGACGGUGUCCCACCCACCUAGAGGAGCCUGUUCUAUAAUCGAUUCCCCCCGAUCUACCUCACCACUUCUAGCCUCUCAGCCUGUAUACCUCCGUCGUAAGCUUACCAUAUGAAUGACCCCCAGUGAGCUAAAACAUUAUUCAUAAAUACGUCAGGUCAAGGUGCAGCCCACGAUGUGGGAAGAAAUGGGCUACAAUUUCUAUAUUAGAACACAACGAAAGACUACAUGCAACUCAGUCAUGAAGGCGGAUUUAGUAGUAAAAAGAAAGUAGAGAGUUCUUUUUAAUUAGGCGCUGGGACGCGUACACACCGCCCGUCACCCUCUUCAAACGCUAUAAUUACGUUUAUAACACUUUUAUGCACCACAGAAGAGGUAAGUCGUAACAUGGUAAGUGUACUGGAAAGUGCACUUGGAUAAA
RNAcentral lists this ribosomal RNA (445 nucleotides) under Microhyla okinavensis (Okinawa rice frog). RNAcentral describes it as "partial 12S ribosomal RNA". It matches the Rfam family "Bacterial small subunit ribosomal RNA", at positions 885 to 1525 of the family's 1533-position model. The record is from RNAcentral. Lineage: Eukaryota; Metazoa; Chordata; Amphibia; Anura; Microhylidae.